RNAcentral lists this unclassified non-coding RNA (786 nucleotides) under Hevea brasiliensis (rubber tree). Lineage: Eukaryota; Viridiplantae; Streptophyta; Magnoliopsida; Malpighiales; Euphorbiaceae. The record is from RNAcentral.
UAUGCCAACAAGUUCAAAUAUAUCAAAGCAAAAAAAUCAACCCUGAGCCAGCAAUGCACCCAGGUGAUUCACAUUGUAACAUGCUACCACAACUUAAUUCUUAUUCCCACGGCCCUCAAAACUGGCAUUCCUUGACUUGCUUGCAUUAUCAAGUGAGGAAUGAUCACUGGAGGCUAAUUUUUGCUUUUUUGCAUUCUGCUUGAUUGUCACAACCAUAUCCAUAGCCAUCUUUUGAUGGUCCCUCGUCUGUGAAUGUAUGUCUAAGCCUUCAACACUUUCACAGUCAACUUUACAAAUACGACACCAUCCCAUGCUAGAUGCCUUUCUCCUUCUUGAACCAUCAAAAGAUUCCAAGUCACCUGGAUAGUUUCCACCAUCACCAGGAAUUCCCUUGUGGGAAAAGCCGCUCCUAAAUCCUGGCUCACCAAGUCGUGAAUGAAAGAAAUUCCCGGGCCCAGGCAAUUCUCCCAUCCGUGUAGGACCAGGGAAAGCACCAAAACCAAAAGGCUCUCCCAUAAGCAUAUGCUCACCCCUUCGCAAAUGAUUGGGAAAUCCAUCUUGACCAGGACCCUCAAACUGGCCCCUGCGUAAAUGGCUGGGUAAAGCUGGAAACCUAUUAUUAUGAAAUGAAUCACCAAAUCUUCGUGAUUCCCUGCCAGCAAUAUCAUCAAGUCCAGGAAAGGCUCCAACUCCAUGUGAGGAUACACCAGGAUAAUCUCUACCUGGACUUCUAGUAGCCAAACCAUCCAUAUGACGACGACCAUAUCUAGGAACUGGUCCAAAAAG